Molecule: ribosomal RNA, 417 nt
Filed under: uncultured bacterium
Lineage: Bacteria
Description: bacterial SSU rRNA
Rfam family: Bacterial small subunit ribosomal RNA
Source: RNAcentral
UAUUGGUCAAUGGGCGGGAGCCUGAACCAGCCAAGUCGCGUGAGGGAAGACGGCCCUACGGCUUGUAAACCUCUUUUGCCGCGGAGCAACGGGGUCCUUGCGAGGGCCCAAUGACAGUACCCGGAGAAAAAGCAUCGGCUAUCUCCCUGCCAGCAGCCGCGGUCAUACGGAGGAUGCGAGCGUUAUCCGGAUUUAUUGGGUUUAAAGGGUGCGUAGGCGGGCUGUUAAGUCAGCGGUCAAAUGUCGGGGCUCAACCCCGGCCUGCCGUUGAAACUGGCGGCCUCGAGUGGGCGAGAAGUAUGCGGAAUGCGUGGUGUAGCGGUGAAAUGCAUAGAUAUCACGCAGAACUCCGAUUGCGAAGGCAGCAUACCGGCGCCCUACUGACGCUGAGGCACGAAAGCGUGGGUAUCGAACAGG